CCCCCCAGCUCAGAGUUUUUUCCAUGGCUUCAGGAGGAACGAUGGCGGCGUGCCUAAUACAUCCAAGUCGAGCAGAUCUUCAUUAGCCUGCUUUGAAGAUCAGCGGCGGACGGGUGAGUAACACGUGGGCAACCUGCCUGUAAGACUGGGAUAAUUCGGGAAAACCGGAGCUAAUACCGGAUAAUCCUUUCCCUCACAUGAGGGAAAGAUGAAAGACGGUUUCGGCUGUCACUCACAGAUGGGCCCGCGGCGCAUUAGCUAGUUGGUGAGGUAACGGCUCACCAAGGCAACGAUGCGUAGCCGACCUGAGAGGGUGAUCGGCCACACUGGGACUGAGACACGGCCCAGACUCCUACGGGAGGCAGCAGUAGGGAAUCUUCCGCAAUGGACGAAAGUCUGACGGAGCAACGCCGCGUGAGCGAUGAAGGCCUUCGGGUCGUAAAGCUCUGUUGUCAGGGAAGAACAAGUACCGGAGUAACUGCCGGUACCUUGACGGUACCUGACCAGAAAGCCACGGCUAACUACGUGCCAGCAGCCGCGGUAAUACGUAGGUGGCAAGCGUUGUCCGGAAUUAUUGGGCGUAAAGCGCGCGCAGGCGGUUCCUUAAGUCUGAUGUGAAAGCCCCCGGCUCAACCGGGGAGGGUCAUUGGAAACUGGGGAACUUGAGUGCAGAAGAGGAGAGCGGAAUUCCACGUGUAGCGGUGAAAUGCGUAGAGAUGUGGAGGAACACCAGUGGGGAAGGCGGCUCUCUGGUCUGUAACUGACGCUGAGGCGCGAAAGCGUGGGGAGCGAACAGGAUUAGAUACCCUGGUAGUCCACGCCGUAAACGAUGAGUGCUAAGUGUUAGAGGGUUUCCGCCCUUUAGUGCUGCAGCAAACGCAUAAGCACUCCCGGCC
This 896-nucleotide ribosomal RNA is filed under the name Mesobacillus jeotgali. RNAcentral's name for it is "bacterial SSU rRNA". It matches the Rfam family "Bacterial small subunit ribosomal RNA", at positions 1 to 873 of the family's 1533-position model. Lineage: Bacteria; Bacillati; Bacillota; Bacilli; Caryophanales; Bacillaceae. The record is from RNAcentral.